AUUGAACGCUGGCGGCAGGCCUAACACAUGCAAGUCGAGCGAGCGGCGGACGGGUGAGUAAUGUAUGGGGACUGCCCGAUAGAGGGGGAUAACUACUGGAAACGGUGGCUAAUACCGCAUACUAUCGGAUAACCCAUAUGGGAUGAGCUAGUGGGUGGGGUAAAGGCUCACCUAGGCGACGAUCUCUAGCGGGUCUGAGUGGUGGAUCGGCCACACUGGGACGGAGACACGGCCCAGACUCCAACGGGGGCAGCGGUGGGGAAUAUUGCACAAGGGGCGCAGGCCUGAUGCAGCCAUGCCGCGUGGAGGAAGAAGGCCUUAGGGUGGUAAGGUACUUUCAGCGGGGAGGCGUUACCCGCAGAGGAAGCACCGGCUAACUCCGUGCCAGCAGCCGCGGUAAUUC
Molecule: ribosomal RNA, 403 nt
Filed under: uncultured bacterium
Lineage: Bacteria
Description: partial 16S ribosomal RNA
Rfam family: Bacterial small subunit ribosomal RNA
Source: RNAcentral